GCGGUGCAAGCUGAGCAGAGGUUUUGGUUCAGAAAACCACAUUAGAACUUUUAGAACUUAUCUUACGUCCUGUUAAUUAUGUUAUAGCUUAUAAUUAUUUAUCUUUUUAUCACUCCGCCUAUUCAGUUCAUUUAUUUUUAAUAUUAUUCGUUUUGCACUUUCCAUUGUUGAGUGAGACUGGGAACAGCGUGUGAGGCGGGAGAAUUGAAAGUUCCAGAAACAAUUCAUUACCGUUUUGACUUGAAUGAUGUCUGAGUUACAAAAAGAGAUUAAGCAAACCUUACAGUGAGUAAUACCAAGCCUUCCUGACAAGUCACUCAAUUAGUCAGUUUAGAAAUGUGUAGGCUGAGGAGUAGAAGAUUUAAUGUACAUGAAAGAAGAGGACUUCUUAAGAGUUCAGUACCAAACUGUUCAGCGCCUGGAAAGAUCAUGGUAAGUCAGACAAUAAGCUAAUUAUGUUGUGCGCAUUGUUUGUUGUGACACUCUUGAACUGAUAUUUCAUAACAUUUUUCAGAAUAAAGAAGCAGCAUUUUGGUUCAGUAAUUAGUUUGACCUAUAGGUCUCCUCAAAAUUCACCACAAAUGAGCUCCUCAGGCAUCUCAAUAAGAAAAUGGAUGGACUCACGCUUCAAGCAGAUGCAUUUGCCACUUCAGCAGAUGUCCAAGGAACACUCAACUUGCCUGACAGUCCUUGAAUUAUAAUUCUUGGUCAAACUCUAAGCAACCAGCAGUGGAUGGUGAGCAUUGAAGGUCACGUUGUAUGUGAGGGAACACAACUCAGCUUUGUCUGUGGCCGUACUGCUGUGUUUGCUUCAUGGGUGGACACUUUUUCUUUGGUGUCAUUUCUUGUGACUGAAGACAGAGAAAGCAAAAUUAAAAUGAUAUAUUGACAUCAACCCUGAACACAUGUUCAAGGCCAAUCAAGGAAAAGCUACAUCCAAGAAGACUAGCCAAGUAGUCCAUAACAAGAAGAACGCAGUAAACCCUCAUUUUUUCUAUCCACUUUGUAAGAUAAUGGACUUUGAACGGAAUUCAUCCAAGACCACUUUGUUCACUUUUAAUUUUGACAGUUUAGGCAAUUUUUGUCUAACAUGGUGUUCUUAUUCUAUUUUAAUGUGAAGGUCAACAUUGGUGUUAUACUUUUAAAUUUAGUAUUGAAUGCUGCACUAUGUUUAUUGCCAGUGUUUCCCACCUCUGUUGCAACCAUCUGUGUUUAUCUGAAAUAAUGAAAGACUGCUAACAAUUAAAAAAACUGGUAAUGUAAAAAGCCAAUCAAGACCAUAAAAAUAAAUGUUUAUUGGAAUGUU
Molecule: long non-coding RNA, 1306 nt
Organism: Polypterus senegalus (gray bichir)
Lineage: Eukaryota; Metazoa; Chordata; Cladistia; Polypteriformes; Polypteridae
Exons: 5
Source: RefSeq, a predicted model, not a curated record